GAAGUCGGCUGCCAGAGGAAUCAUCCGAGCAGCGGAAUCAGCUGGGCAGAAGGUACAGAAAUGCCAGAGCAGCGAAGUCGGCUUUGCCAGAGAAAUCAAGCUGCCAGCGGAAUCAAAGUGCCAGAGCAGCGAAGUCGGCUUUGCCAGAGGAAUCAUCCGAGCAGCGGAAUCAGCUGGGCAGAAGGUACAGACGGGGCAGAGAAGAAGAGUGCAGAGGAUGUAGAUAAGGAAAGAUAUCCAAAACCUUAUCCCUUGAGGUUUGGAUAAGAACAAAUCAGCCUCCAGAUCUGGAUGCAAUCGUGGGCAGGAGGAGCCCUAAUUCCAGCCCACUCCUUUUGGGCCCAGCCUGUGUAGCCCUAACUCAUGCCUAUAAAUACCACAUGGCUGUGAAUCAUUCGGAGGAAGGGAGAAGAGAG
RNAcentral lists this long non-coding RNA (416 nucleotides) under Salvia miltiorrhiza (redroot sage). RNAcentral describes it as "long non-coding RNA (SMIL_LNC007803)". Lineage: Eukaryota; Viridiplantae; Streptophyta; Magnoliopsida; Lamiales; Lamiaceae. The record is from RNAcentral.